This 399-nucleotide ribosomal RNA is filed under the name uncultured bacterium. RNAcentral's name for it is "bacterial SSU rRNA". It matches the Rfam family "Bacterial small subunit ribosomal RNA", at positions 362 to 775 of the family's 1533-position model. The record is from RNAcentral.
UAUUGGUCAAUGGAGGAAACUCUGAACCAGCAACGCCGCGUGAAUGAUGAAGGUCUUCGGAUUGUAAAGUUCUUUUCUAAGGGAAGAAGAUAGUGACGGUACCUUAGGAAUAAGCUUCGGCUAACUACGUGCCAGCAUCCGUGGUAAUACGUAGGAGGCAAGCGUUAUCCGGAACGACUGGGCGUAAAGGGUGCGUAGGUGGUUUGGCAAGUUAGUAGCGUAACCCCGGGGCUCAACCUCGGAACUACUACUAAAACUGUCGGACUUGAGUGUAGGAGGGGCAAUUGGAAUUCCUAGUGUAGCGGUGGAAUGCGUAGAUAUUAGGAGGAACACCAGUGGCGAAGGCGAAUUGCUGGACUAUAACUGACACUGAGGCACGAAAGCGUGGGGAGCAAACAG